UACGGAGGGUGCGAGCGUUAAUCGGAAUUACUGGGCGUAAAGGGUGCGUAGGUGGUUAAUUAAGUUAGAUGUAAAAACCCUGGGCUUAACCUAGGACUGAGAUUUAAUACUGAUUAACUGGAGUAUGGGAGAGGGUAGUGGAAUUUCCGGUGUAGCGGUGAAAUGCGUAGAGAUCGGAAGGAACACCAGUGGCGAAGGCGGCUACCUGGCCUAAUACUGACACUGAAGCACGAAAGCGUGGGGAGCAAACAGG
RNAcentral lists this ribosomal RNA (253 nucleotides) under uncultured bacterium. Its description in RNAcentral is "partial 16S ribosomal RNA". It matches the Rfam family "Bacterial small subunit ribosomal RNA", at positions 524 to 776 of the family's 1533-position model. The record is from RNAcentral.